RNAcentral lists this ribosomal RNA (520 nucleotides) under uncultured Glomus. Its description in RNAcentral is "SSU rRNA". It matches the Rfam family "Eukaryotic small subunit ribosomal RNA", at positions 569 to 1091 of the family's 1831-position model. The record is from RNAcentral. Lineage: Eukaryota; Fungi; Glomeromycota; Glomeromycetes; Glomerales; Glomeraceae.
AGCAGCCGCGGUAAUUCCAGCUCCAAUAGCGUAUAUUAAAGUUGUUGCAGUUAAAAAGCUCGUAGUUGAAUUUCGGGAUCGACGGGUCGGUCGCGCCUCUGGUGUGUACUGGCCCUGUCGGUUUCUCCCUUCUGAAGAACCGCGAUGUCAUUAAUUUGGUGUCGUGGGAAAUCAGGACUGUUACUUUGAAAAAAUUAGAGUGUUUAAAGCAGGCAUUCGCUUGAAUACAUUAGCAUGGAAUAAUGAAAUAGGACGUUUGAUCUUAUUUUGUUGGUUUCUAAGAUCGACGUAAUGAUUAAUAGGGAUAGUUGGGGGCAUUAGUAUUCAAUUGUCAGAGGUGAAAUUCUUGGAUUUAUUGAAGACUAACUACUGCGAAAGCAUUUGCCAAGGAUGUUUUCAUUAGUCAAGAACGAAAGUUAGGGGAUCGAAGACGAUCAGAUACCGUCGUAGUCUUAACCAUAAACUAUGCCGACUAGGGAUCGGAUGAUGUUAAUUUUUAAUGACUCAUUCGGCGCCUUAC